Molecule: transfer RNA, 67 nt
Filed under: Marmota monax (woodchuck)
Lineage: Eukaryota; Metazoa; Chordata; Mammalia; Rodentia; Sciuridae
Description: tRNA.Ala
Source: RNAcentral
GGUUGUGGCUCAGUGGCAGAGUGCUUGCCUAGCAUGUGUGAGUCACUGGGUUCGAUCCUUAGCACCA